GACGAACCGUGCGAACGUUGUUCGGAUUCACUGGGCUUAAAGCGCGCGUAGGCGGACCUGCAAGUCGGGGGUGAAAGCCCGAGGCUCAACCUCGGAACUGCCUUCGAUACUGCGGGUCUCGAGUCCGGGAGAGGUGAGUGGAAUUCCUAGUGUAGAGGUGAAAUUCGUAGAUAUUAGGAAGAACACCAGUGGCGAAGGCGGCUCACUGGCCCGGUACUGACGCUGAGGCGCGAAAGCGUGGGGAGCAAACAGG
This 253-nucleotide ribosomal RNA is filed under the name uncultured bacterium. RNAcentral describes it as "partial 16S ribosomal RNA". It matches the Rfam family "Bacterial small subunit ribosomal RNA", at positions 524 to 776 of the family's 1533-position model. The record is from RNAcentral.